AGUGAACGCUGGCGGUAGGCCUAACACAUGCAAGUCGAACGGCAGCACAGUAAGAGCUUGCUCUUACGGGUGGCGAGUGGCGGACGGGUGAGGAAUACAUCGGAAUCUACUUUUUCGUGGGGGAUAACGUAGGGAAACUUACGCUAAUACCGCAUACGACCUACGGGUGAAAGCAGGGGAUCUUCGGACCUUGCGCGAUUGAAUGAGCCGAUGUCGGAUUAGCUAGUUGGCGGGGUAAAGGCCCACCAAGGCGACGAUCCGUAGCUGGUCUGAGAGGAUGAUCGGCCACACUCGAACUGAGACACGGUCCAGACUCCUGCGGGAGGCAGCAGUGGGGAAUAUUGGACAAUGGGCGCAAGCCUGAUCCAGCCAUACCGCGUGGGUGAAGAAGGCCUUCGGGUUGUAAAGCCCUUUUGUUGGGAAAGAAAAGCAGCAGGUUAAUACCCCGCUGUUCUGACGGUACCCAAAGAAUAAGCACCGGCUAACUUCGUG
This 492-nucleotide ribosomal RNA is filed under the name uncultured bacterium. Its description in RNAcentral is "partial 16S ribosomal RNA". It matches the Rfam family "Bacterial small subunit ribosomal RNA", at positions 29 to 507 of the family's 1533-position model. The record is from RNAcentral.